UUAUGGCUCAGAUUGAACGCUGGCGGCAGGCUUAACACAUGCAAGUCGAGCGGGGGAAGGUAGCUGCUACCGGACCUAGCGGCGGACGGGUGAGUAAUGCUUAGGAAUCUGCCUAUAGUGGGGGACAACAGUUGGAAACGGCUGGCUAAUACCGCAUACGCCUACGGGGGAAAGCAGGGGAUCUUCGGACCUUGCGCUAAUAGAUGAGCCUAAGUCGGAUUAGCUAGUUGGUGGGUAAAGGCCUACCAAGGCGACGAUCUGUAGCGGGUCUGAGAGGAUGAUCCGCCACACUGGGACUGAGACACGGCCCAGACUCCUACGGGAGGCAGCAGUGGGGAAUAUUGGACAAUGGGGGCAACCCUGAUCCAGCCAUGCCGCGUGUGUGAAGAAGGGCCCUUUUGGUUGUAAAGCACUUUAAGCGAGGAGGAGGCGCCCUAGAUUAAUACUCUAGGUGCGUGGACGUUACUCGCAGAAUAAGCACCGGCUAACUCUGUGCCAGCAGCUGC
RNAcentral lists this ribosomal RNA (506 nucleotides) under uncultured bacterium. RNAcentral's name for it is "bacterial SSU rRNA". It matches the Rfam family "Bacterial small subunit ribosomal RNA", at positions 17 to 518 of the family's 1533-position model. The record is from RNAcentral.